GACGGAGGGUGCUAGCGUUGUUCGGAAUCACUGGGCGUAAAGGGCGCGUAGGCGGCCUCAGGUGUCGGAUGUGAAAGCCCGGGGCUCAACCCCGGAGGUGCAUCCGAAACUCUGGGGCUGGAGGUCGGAAGAGGAGGGUGGAAUUCCCAGUGUAGAGGUGAAAUUCGUAGAUAUUGGGAAGAACACCGAUGGCGAAGGCAGCCAUCUGGACCGACACUGACGCUGAGGCGCGAAAGCGUGGGGAGCAAACAGG
Molecule: ribosomal RNA, 253 nt
Filed under: uncultured bacterium
Lineage: Bacteria
Description: partial 16S ribosomal RNA
Rfam family: Bacterial small subunit ribosomal RNA
Source: RNAcentral